This 753-nucleotide ribosomal RNA is filed under the name uncultured archaeon. RNAcentral's name for it is "bacterial SSU rRNA". It matches the Rfam family "Archaeal small subunit ribosomal RNA", at positions 102 to 854 of the family's 1478-position model. The record is from RNAcentral.
GGAUAACCUACCCUUAGGACUGGGAUAACCCUGGGAAACUGGGGCUAAUACCGGAUAGGCAAUUUUUCCUGGAAUGGUUUUUUGUUUAAAUGUUUUUUCGCCUAAGGAUGGGUCUGCGGCCGAUUAGGUAGUUGGUUAGGUAAUGGCUUACCAAGCCGUUGAUCGGUACGGGUUGUGAGAGCAAGAGCCCGGAGAUGGAACCUGAGACAAGGUUCCAGGCCCUACGGGGUGCAGCAGGCGCGAAACCUCCGCAAUGUGAGAAAUCGCGACGGGGGGAUCCCAAGUGCCAUUCUUAACGGGAUGGCUUUUCAUUAGUGUAAAGAGCUUUUGGAAUAAGAGCUGGGCAAGACCGGUGCCAGCCGCCGCGGUAACACCGGCAGCUCUAGUGGUAACAAUUUUUAUUGGGCCUAAAGCGUCCGUAGCCGGUUUAAUAAGUCUCUGGUGAAAUCCUGUAGCUUAACUGUGGGAAUUGCUGGAGAUACUAUUAGACUUGAGACCGGGAGAGGUUAGAGGUACUCCCAGGGUAGAGGUGAAAUUCUGUAAUCCUGGGAGGACCGCCUGUUGCGAAGGCGUCUAACUGGAACGGUUCUGACGGUGAGGGACGAAAGUUAGGGGCGCGAACCGGAUUAGAUACCCGGGUAGUCCUAACUGUAAACGAUGCGGACUUGGUGUUGGGGUGGCUUUGAGCUGCUCCAGUGCCGAAAGGGAAGCUGUUAAGUCCGCCGCCUGGGAAGUACGGUCGCAAGACUGAAA